GAUGAACGCUGGCGGCGUGCUUAACACAUGCAAGUCGAACGGAAAGGCCCUGCUUUUGUGGGGUGCUCGAUUGGCGAACGGGUGUGUAUCACGCGUGUAUACUGUCCCUGUCUUUGGGAUAACUUUAGGAAACUGGGGCUAAUAUCCGAUAGGAGCUAUUGAUGCACGGUGGGGGUUGGAAAGUUUCGGCGGUUGGGGAUGGACUCGCGGCUUAUCAGCUAGUUAGGGGAGUAGUUGCUUACCAAGCUUAUGACGGGUAGCCGGCCUUGGAGGGGGGACGGCCACAAGAGGACUAAGGGACGGCCCAGACGCCUACGUGAGGCAACAGUCGGAAGUAUUACGCAGUGAGGGGGAGCCUGAUACGACAGCGCCGCGUGCGGGAUGACGUCCUUCGAGUGAAGAACCGCUUUCGCCUGUGACGAGGCGUGAGUGACGGUAAUGGAUAAAGAAGCACCGGCUAACUACGUG
This 468-nucleotide ribosomal RNA is filed under the name uncultured bacterium. RNAcentral describes it as "partial 16S ribosomal RNA". It matches the Rfam family "Bacterial small subunit ribosomal RNA", at positions 28 to 507 of the family's 1533-position model. The record is from RNAcentral.